UGGGGAAUAUUGCACAAUGGGCGAAAGCCUGAUGCAGCAACGCCGCGUGAGCGAUGAAGGCCUUGGGUCGUAAAGCUCUGUCCUCAAGGAAGAUAAUGACGGUACUUGAGGAGGAAGCCCGGCUAACUACGUGCC
This 135-nucleotide ribosomal RNA is filed under the name uncultured bacterium. RNAcentral describes it as "partial 16S ribosomal RNA". It matches the Rfam family "Bacterial small subunit ribosomal RNA", at positions 355 to 509 of the family's 1533-position model. The record is from RNAcentral.